CAGUUUUCCCCGCCCACCGCGAAUCUUCCCACGCGUAACGUACCUAGUUCGAUGAAGCGUUCGCGUCAGGGGUAUCGCCGCUGCCUCCAACCGAUCUACUCCACCGUCCAUUGUCGUUCUGCCUAUCUUCUGUUGCGUGGGUCAUCGUCAGACUCUUAGAUUUGGAUUUGAGCUUGGAAAAUUACAGAAGCCGUUGUCCAGCAGAUUCGAGAUUGUUCGGCAAGAGUUUUGGUCCUUGUUGUUGGUUUGUGGGCACGCAUGUAUUACUGAAUUAAAUGUUGACUUAACCCUUGCAGUCGUCGUCUAUUGGGAUUUAAAAUCUGUUAGGAGGAGAUUUUGGAGUUGAAAUCUUAGGAGUGGUUGUUGAUCAAGUUUCUUUGGGUAAGGGUAGAGAUGCACCGACGAUGGACAAGCGGAAUUUAUGAUCGAGCCAUUGGAACUAGUU
Molecule: long non-coding RNA, 445 nt
Organism: Benincasa hispida (wax gourd)
Lineage: Eukaryota; Viridiplantae; Streptophyta; Magnoliopsida; Cucurbitales; Cucurbitaceae
Source: RefSeq, a predicted model, not a curated record